This 756-nucleotide ribosomal RNA is filed under the name Beella digitata. Its description in RNAcentral is "bacterial SSU rRNA". It matches the Rfam family "Eukaryotic small subunit ribosomal RNA", at positions 1160 to 1595 of the family's 1831-position model. The record is from RNAcentral. Lineage: Eukaryota; Foraminifera; Rotaliida; Globigerinidae.
AAGGGCACCACAAGAACGUGGAGCAUGUGGCUUAAUUUGACUCAACGCGGGAAAUCUUACCGGGUCCGGACACACUGAGGAUUGACAGACAGUUGCUCUAUACUACUUAAUCGUUGGCUGGAUCGAAAUAUAUAGAUCUUUCAUGAUUAUGUGUAGGUGGUGAAUGGCCGUUCUUAGUUCGUGGAGUGAUCUGUCUGCUUAAUUGCGUUUCAACAUAUUUAUUUAUGUUUGUACACCGAUACUAUUUGAUCAUUUAGUUGGUCUAGUAUUUUAGUUGUGCUUUCAUAUUUGAACGCAACGGACGUGAUUGCAACCCCUUGUUGAAUUGGCACUUACUGCAAUUCACUUUCAUUGGUCCUUUAUUGAACCUUUGGGAAAACUCGGGGGACCGCUGAACGAUUUUCCUUUAAACCAGAGGAAGAUUGCGGCAAUAACAGGUCUGUGAUGCCCUUAGAUGUCCCGGGCCGCACACGUGCUACACUGAUUGCGCCAGUACGUGUCCCAUUCGCUUAGAACCAUUGGUUUUGGUAGUUAUACUGAUGGAUUGUUGUAGCUUGCUACUUCAAACCUGAUUUAUGGCUCCACCCAAUAUCGUCUAGUCUGAGAAGGCUGGGUAAUCUAUUUGAAGUGGUGAUUUUUCCUCGUUGCGAGCAUUUUAAUAAAUGGUUUCGUACUGUCCCUGCAGUACAAUUUUUAGUACGCGGUGCGACAACUAUGAUAUUGCCUGCCACACAUGUUCCUAUUUAUUCCCAGUGG